GAUGAACGCUGGCGGCGUGCCUAAUACAUGCAAGUCGAACGCAUAGCGCAAGGUGCUUGCACCUUUCAAGUGAGUGGCGAACGGGUGAGUAACACGUGGACAACCUGCCUCAAGGCUGGGGAUAACAUUUGGAAACAGAUGCUAAUACCGAAUAAAACUUAGUGUCGCAUGACACAAAGUUAAAAGGCGCUUCGGCGUCACCUAGAGAUGGAUCCGGGGUGCAUUAGUUAGUUGGUGGGUUAAAGGCCUACCAAGACAAUGAUGCAUAGCCGAGUUGAGAGACUGAUCGCCCGCAUUGGGACUUGAACACGGCCCAAACUCCUGCGGGAGGCUGCAGUAGGGAAUCUUCCACAAUGGGCGAAAGCCUGAUGGAGCAACGCCGCGUGUGUGAUGAAGGCUUUCGGGUCGUAAAGCACGGUUGUAUGGGAAGAACAGCUAGAAUAGGAAAUGAUUUUAGUUUGACGGUACCAGACCAGAAAGGGACGGCUAAAUACGUG
Molecule: ribosomal RNA, 497 nt
Filed under: uncultured bacterium
Lineage: Bacteria
Description: partial 16S ribosomal RNA
Rfam family: Bacterial small subunit ribosomal RNA
Source: RNAcentral